CCUACGGGAGGCUGCAGUGAGGAAUAUUGGUCAAUGGACGAGAGUCUGAACCAGCCAAGUCGCGUGAAGGAUGACUGCCCUAUGGGUUGUAAACUUCUUUUAUCAAGGAAUAAAACGAGGCACGUGUGCCGUUUUGCAAGUACUUUGUGAAUAAGGAUCGGCUAACUCCGUGCCAGCAGCCGCGGUAAUACGGAGGAUCCGAGCGUUAUCCGGAUUUAUUGGGUUUAAAGGGAGCGUAGAUGGGUUGUUAAGUCAGUUGUGAAAGUUUGCGGCUUAACCGUAAAAUCGCCAUUGAUACUGGCAUUCUUGAGUGCAGUUGAGGUAGGCGGAAUGCGUGGUGUAGCGGUGAAAUGCUUAGAUAUCACGAAGAACCCCGAUUGCGAAGGCAGCUUACCAACCUGUGACUGACAUUGAUGCUCGAAAGUGUGGGUAUCAAACAGGAUUAGAUACCCUGGUAGUC
RNAcentral lists this ribosomal RNA (460 nucleotides) under uncultured bacterium. Its description in RNAcentral is "partial 16S ribosomal RNA". It matches the Rfam family "Bacterial small subunit ribosomal RNA", at positions 338 to 795 of the family's 1533-position model. The record is from RNAcentral.